GACAGAGGGUGCAAACGUUGCUCGGAAUUACUGGGCGUAAAGCGCAUGUAGGCGGUCUCGCGAGUCGGGUGUGAAAGCCCGGGGCUCAACCCCGGACGUGCAUUCGAUACUACGAGGCUGGAGUACUGUAGAGGAGAGCGGAAUUCCCGGUGUAGAGGUGAAAUUCGUAGAUAUCGGGAGGAACACCAGUGGCGAAGGCGGCUCUCUGGACAGUGACUGACGCUGAGACGCGAAAGCGUGGGUAGCAAACAGG
RNAcentral lists this ribosomal RNA (253 nucleotides) under uncultured bacterium. Its description in RNAcentral is "partial 16S ribosomal RNA". It matches the Rfam family "Bacterial small subunit ribosomal RNA", at positions 524 to 776 of the family's 1533-position model. The record is from RNAcentral.